Molecule: ribosomal RNA, 254 nt
Filed under: uncultured bacterium
Lineage: Bacteria
Description: partial 16S ribosomal RNA
Rfam family: Bacterial small subunit ribosomal RNA
Source: RNAcentral
UACGUAGGCACCAAGCGUUGUCCGGAUUUAUUGGGCGUAAAGAGCUCGUAGGCGGUUCGGUAAGUCGGGUGUGAAAACUCUGGGCUCAACCCAGAGAGGCCACCCGAUACUGCCGUGACUGGAGUGCGGUAGGGGAGUGGGGAAUUCCUGGUGUAGCGGUGAAAUGCGCAGAUAUCAGGAGGAACACCGGUGGCGAAGGCGGUUCUCUGGGCCUGUACUGACGCUGAGGAACGAAAGCGUGGGGAGCGAACAGG